Molecule: ribosomal RNA, 425 nt
Filed under: uncultured prokaryote
Description: bacterial SSU rRNA
Rfam family: Bacterial small subunit ribosomal RNA
Source: RNAcentral
UAACGAAUAUUGGGCAAUGGGCGAAAGCCUGACCCAGCAAUGCCGCGUGCAGGACGAAGUCCUUCGGGAUGUAAACUGCUGUCAGGGGUUAGCAAGCGAAGGGAGUUAACAGCUCCCGGAGUUGAGCAGCCCCAGAGGAAGCCUCGACUAACUCUGUGCCAGCAGUCGCGGUAAGACAGAGGAGGCAAGCGUUGUUCGGAAUCACUGGGCUUAAAGCGCGUGUAGGCGGCCGAGUAAGUGUUGUGUGAAAGCCCGCGGCUCAACCGCGGAACGGCACGGCAAACUGCUCGGCUUGAGGUCGGUAGAGGUGCCUGGAACUCUAGGUGGAGCGGUGAAAUGCGUAGAUAUCUAGAGGAACGCCGGAGGCGAAAGUGGGGCACUGGGCCGAUUCUGACGCUGAGACGCGAAAGCGUGGGGAGCAAACA